UACGUAGGUGGCAAGCGUUGUCCGGAAUUACUGGGUGUAAAGGGCGUGUAGGCGGGAUAUUAAGUCAGAUGUGAAAUUCCAAGGCUCAACCUUGGCGCUGCAUCUGAAACUGAUGUUCUUGAGUGAUGGAGAGGAAAGCGGUAUUCCUAGUGUAGCGGUGAAAUGCGUAGAUAUUAGGAGGAACACCAGUGGCGAAGGCGGCUUUCUGGACAUUAACUGACGCUGAGGCGCGAAAGCGUGGGGAGCAAAC
Molecule: ribosomal RNA, 250 nt
Filed under: uncultured bacterium
Lineage: Bacteria
Description: partial 16S ribosomal RNA
Rfam family: Bacterial small subunit ribosomal RNA
Source: RNAcentral